This is a long non-coding RNA of Chroicocephalus ridibundus (black-headed gull), 383 nucleotides long. RefSeq lists it as uncharacterized. The record is from RefSeq and is a predicted model, not a curated record. The transcript is spliced from 3 exons. NCBI's taxonomy places the organism in Eukaryota, Metazoa, Chordata, Aves, Charadriiformes, Laridae.
CGGAGGAACUGGGUGCUGAGGAGCUGCAAGGCGCCUGGGGGAGGGGGGAGUGCCGGGAAGGAGAUGGUAAAUAGGGCGCAAAUGGGUGGCAUGAGGGAAGGGCUAGAUCGAAGUAGGCCUCUGGACCCUUGGAGAGCCACUGACUUCAGCAACAUUUAUAGCUGAACACAAGAGCUCUGUGUGAAGAGACCCCAUCCGUGCUGAUGGUGCAAAGUACCGUCUCCUCCGUGCUGCUGUCUGACAGAGGUCUUGGUGACACCUUUACAUUCAUUUCUGUCUUCCUGUGGAGAACGAAGCUUCUAUGGGGAAUCUGUAUGUAGGAGUAUAGUUAUGGUGGUUUUCUCUUAAUAGGAGGUCAUGUGGCUUCUGUUAAGGAAGUAGAG